RNAcentral lists this ribosomal RNA (520 nucleotides) under uncultured Bacteroidota bacterium. RNAcentral describes it as "bacterial SSU rRNA". It matches the Rfam family "Bacterial small subunit ribosomal RNA", at positions 347 to 869 of the family's 1533-position model. The record is from RNAcentral. Lineage: Bacteria; Pseudomonadati; Bacteroidota.
GGCAGCAGUGAGGAAUAUUGGACAAUGGGCGCAAGCCUGAUCCAGCCAUGCCGCGUGCAGGAUGACGGUCCUAUGGAUUGUAAACUGCUUUUAUACAGGAAGAAACCCUACCACGUGUGGUAGAUUGACGGUACUGUAGGAAUAAGGAUCGGCUAACUCCGUGCCAGCAGCCGCGGUAAUACGGAGGAUCCAAGCGUUAUCCGGAAUCAUUGGGUUUAAAGGGUCCGUAGGCGGUUUAAUAAGUCAGUGGUGAAAGCCCAUCGCUUAACGAUGGAACGGCCAUUGAUACUGUUAGACUUGAAUUAUUAGGAAGUAACUAGAAUAUGUAGUGUAGCGGUGAAAUGCUUAGAUAUUACAUGGAAUACCAAUUGCGAAGGCAGGUUACUACUAAUAUAUUGACGCUGAUGGACGAAAGCGUGGGGAGCGAACAGGAUUAGAUACCCUGGUAGUCCACGCCGUAAACGAUGGAUACUAGCUGUUGGGCGCAAGCUCAGUGGCUAAGCGAAAGUGAUAAGUAUCC